UCCGGUGGUAUACGAUGGUUCCGCGUCUGAUUAGCUAGUUGGCGGGGUAACGGCCCACCAAGGCAGCGAUCAGUAGCCGGCCUGAGAGGGUGAACGGCCACAUUGGGACUGAGACACGGCCCAAACUCCUACGGGAGGCAGCAGUGGGGAAUAUUGCACAAUGGGGGAAACCCUGAUGCAGCGACGCCGCGUGAGUGAAGAAGUAUUUCGGUACGUAAAGCUCUAUCAGCAGGGAAGAAAAUGACGGUACCUGACUAAGAAGCCCCGGCUAACUACGUGCCAGCAGCCGCGGUAAUACGUAGGGGGCAAGCGUUAUCCGGAUUUACUGGGUGUAAAGGGAGCGUAGACGGCAGCGCAAGUCUGGAGUGAAAUGCCGGGGCCCAACCCCGGAACUGCUUUGGAAACUGUGCAGCUUGAGUGCAGGAGAGGUAAGCGGAAUUCCUAGUGUAGCGGUGAAAUGCGUAGAUAUUAGGAGGAACACCAGUGGCGAAGGCGGCUUACUGGACUGUAACUGACGUUGAGGCUCGAAAGCGUGGGGAGCAAACAGGAUUAGAUACCCUGGUAGUCCACGCCGUAAACGAUGAUUACUAGGUGUCGGGGGACCAAGGUGCUCCGGUGCCGGCGCAAACGCAUUAAGUAAUCCACCUGGGGAGUACGUUCGCAAGAAUGAAACUCAAAGGAAUUGACGG
RNAcentral lists this ribosomal RNA (689 nucleotides) under uncultured bacterium. RNAcentral describes it as "bacterial SSU rRNA". It matches the Rfam family "Bacterial small subunit ribosomal RNA", at positions 211 to 916 of the family's 1533-position model. The record is from RNAcentral.